Oryzias latipes (Japanese medaka) is the source of this 484-nucleotide non-coding RNA. The record is from RefSeq and is a predicted model, not a curated record. Lineage: Eukaryota; Metazoa; Chordata; Actinopteri; Beloniformes; Adrianichthyidae.
UAAAAAGUGGAACAGCCUCCUGGAAAGGAAGCUUCUGUCAGGUGUGCAGCUCUGGACAACGAGGACAAUCCCGGAGAGCUGACAGCUGCCAGAAGCCCCACAGAGAGGACAGGAGUCUGCUCAGGAGCGUCCCCAUCAGAGGAAGCUGCAAGGAUGUGGCUCUGUUGCAAAGGUCUGCGGUGCAGCAGAAGACGCCGGUGUAACCAGCACCCAUGACGGUGCCGGCUAAGGUUACAUUGCACAGGAAUUAGUGUGAGCUGAGCCCAGUGUGAAGUAUUGUUUGUGCCACUCUGCCGUCAUUACCGAGCGUUUUAUCUGGAUCUGAUCUUCUGUUUUCUGACUCUGUUUACCUGCCCCAUCUCUCGCCUGGAUCCUGACUACCCCCAGUCUCUGCUUUGAACUUUUUGCCUGUUAUUAACCCCUGCCUGACCCUGAUUUAGCUUUGUGGACUUUUAGCUGAGCUAAUAAAACUCCUGCAUUUGGA